Molecule: ribosomal RNA, 468 nt
Filed under: uncultured bacterium
Lineage: Bacteria
Description: partial 16S ribosomal RNA
Rfam family: Bacterial small subunit ribosomal RNA
Source: RNAcentral
GACGAACGCUGGCGGCGUGCUUAACACAUGCAAGUCGAACGGAAAGGCCCUGCUUUUGUGGGGUGCUCGAGUGGCGAACGGGUGAGUAACACGUGAGUAACCUGCCCUUGACUUUGGGAUAACUUCAGGAAACUGGGGCUAAUACCGGAUAGGAGCUCCUGCUGCAUGGUGGGGGUUGGAAAGUUUCGGCGGUUGGGGAUGGACUCGCGGCUUAUCAGCUUGUUGGUGGGGUAGUGGCUUACCAAGGCUUUGACGGGUAGCCGGCCUGAGAGGGUGACCGGCCACAUUGGGACUGAGAUACGGCCCAGACUCCUACGGGAGGCAGCAGUGGGGAAUAUUACACAAUGGGCGGAAGCCUGAUGCAGCAACGCCGCGUGCGGGAUGGCGGCCUUCGGGGUGGAAACCGCUUUCGCCUGUGACGAAGCGUGAGUGACGGUAAUGGGUAAAGAAGCACCGGCUAACUACGUG